GUGUUGUUUGUGAAGGGCACACGGUGGAUGCCUGGGCAUUAUGAGCCGAUGAAGGACGUGUAAGGCCGCGAUAGGCCUCGGGGAGUUGCCAAUAGAGCGUUGAUCCGAGGGUGUCCGAAUGGGGAAACCUGGCCAUGGUUAUGUGUGGUUACCCAUCAGUGAAUGUAUAGCUGGUGUGGGGGUGACGCGGGGAAGUGAAACAUCUUAGUACCCGUAGGAGAAGAAAAUAAUUAAUGAUUCUGCUAGUAGUGGCGAACGAACGUGGAUGAGGCUAAACCGUAUGCGUGUGAUACCUGGCAGGGGUUGCGUGUGUGGUGUUGUGGGGCGUUGUUGGAGGAGGCUGCCGGCUCCUCGCUUGUGUAUGUGUGUGUUAGCGGAAGUGGUUUGGAAUGGCCUGCCGUAGUGGGUGAGAGUCCCGUACGUGAAAGUGCAUGCAUGUGAGUGGAUGAUGUUCCCGAGUAGCAGCGGGCUCGUGGAAUCUGCUGUGAAUCUGCCGGGACCACCCGGUAAGCCUAAAUACUUAUGAUGACCGAUAGCGGAUUAGUACCGUGAGGGAAUGGUGAAAAGUACCCCGGGAGGGGAGUGAAAUAGUACCUGAAACCGUGUGCUUACAAUCCGUCAGAGCCUUUUUUGUGGGGUGAUGGCGUGCCUUUUGAAGAAUGAGCCUGCGAGUCAGCGGCAUGUCGCGAGGUUAACCCGUGUGGGGUAGUCGUAGCGAAAGCGAAUCCUAAUGAGGGUGUUGUCAGUGGCAUGUUCUGGACCCGAAGCGGGGUGAUCUACCCAUGGCCAGUGUGAAGCAGCUGUAAGAGGUUGUGGAGGCGCGAACCCACUUAGGUUGAAAACUGAGGGGAUGAGCUGUGGGUAGGGGUGAAAGGCCAAUCAAACUCCGUGAUAGCUGGUUCUCCCCGAAAUGCAUUUAGGUGCAGCGUUGUGUGUUUCUUGCUGGAGGUAGAGCUACUGGUUGGUUGAGCGGGACUACAAUCUUAGCAAUGUCAGCCAAACUCCGAAUGCCGGUAAUGUUAAGCAUGGCAGUGAGACUGCGGGGGAUAAGCUCCGUUGGUCGAGAGGGAAACAGCCCAGAUCGCCGGUUAAGGCCCCUAAGGGUGUACUAAGUGGAAAAGGAUGUGGGAUCGCGAAGACAGCCAGGAGGUUGGCUUAGAAGCAGCCAUCCUUGAAAGAGUGCGUAAUAGCUCACUGGUCGAGUGGUUCUGCGCCGACAAUGUAGUGGGGCUCAAGUACACCGCCGAAGCCGCGGCAGUCAGCAUUUUUUGUUGGUUGGGUAGGGGAGCGUCGUGCACUGCUGUGAAGCACCUGGGUGACUUGAUGGUGUGGAGUGUGUGCGAGUGAGAAUGCAGGCAUGAGUAACGAAUGAAAAGUGGAAAACUUUUCCGCCGGAUGACUAAGGGUUCCUGGGUUAAGCUAAUCUUCCCAGGGUGAGUCGGGACCUAAGGCGAGGCCGACAGGCGUAGUCGAUGGAUAACCAGUUGAUAUUCUGGUACCCGUGUAUGUGCGCCCAGUGGUGAAUCAGUGGUACUAACCAUCCAUGGAUCUUCUGGUCAUGCUUUUUGUGUGGUUGGUGGUGAUGUGCGUGGGAUCUUCGUUGGUAGUAGCCAAGUGAUGGGGUGACGCAGUGAGGUAGCUGAGCCAUGUAGUGGAUUGUGGUGUAAGCGUGUGGCCCGUGGCAUAGGUAAAUCCGUGUCGCAUAGUGGGUGAGGCGUGAUGCGUAGACCUUUGUGGUUGAUGUUGGUGAUCCUGUACUGUCGAGAAAAGCCUCUAGCGAGUGCAUAUAUGGCCCGUACCCAUAACCGACACAGGUGGUCAGGUAGAGAAUACUAAGGCGAUCGGGUGAACUGUGGUUAAGGAACUCGGCAAAUUGCCCCCGUAACUUCGGGAGAAGGGGGACCAUUGCUGGUGACCGACGUGGUUGAGCUGGUGGUGGUCGCAGAGAAUAGAGGGAAGCGACUGUUUAUUAAAAACACAGGUCCGUGCGAAAACGUGGAAGUUGAUGUAUACGGACUGACGCCUGCCCGGUGCUGGAAGGUUAAGAGGACCUGUUAGGGCAUUGUUGUCCGAAGCGGAGAAUUUAAGCCCCAGUAAACGGCGGUGGUAACUAUAACCAUCCUAAGGUAGCGAAAUUCCUUGUCGGGUAAGUUCCGACCUGCACGAAUGGCGUAACGACUUCCCUGCUGUCUCAACCACAGGCCCGGUGAAAUUGCAGUACGAGUAAAGAUGCUCGUUACGCGCGGCAGGACGAAAAGACCCCGGGACCUUCACUAUAGCUUGGUAUUGGUGUUUGGUUCGGUUUGUGUAGGAUAGGUGGGAGACUGUGAAGUGGUCACGCUAGUGGUUGUGGAGUCGAAAGUUGAAAUACCACUCUGAUCGGAUUGAGCACCUUAACCUUGGCCCAUGAUCUGGGUUGGGGACAGUGC
This 2429-nucleotide ribosomal RNA is filed under the name Corynebacterium belfantii. Its description in RNAcentral is "partial 23S ribosomal RNA". It matches the Rfam family "Bacterial large subunit ribosomal RNA", at positions 1 to 2257 of the family's 2925-position model. Lineage: Bacteria; Bacillati; Actinomycetota; Actinomycetes; Mycobacteriales; Corynebacteriaceae. The record is from RNAcentral.